UGGGCCCUACGGGAGGCAGCAGUGGGGAAUAUUGCACAAUGGGGGGAACCCUGAUGCAGCGACGCCGCGUGGGUGAAGAAGUCAUUCGUGACGUAAAGCCCUAUCAGCAGGGAAGAAAAUGACGGUACCUGACUAAGAAGCCCCGGCUAACUACGUGCCAGCAGCCGCGGUAAUACGUAGGGGGCGAGCGUUAUCCGGAUUCACUGGGUGUAAAGGGAGCGUAGACGGCCAUGCAAGCCAGGGGUGAAAGCCCGGGGCCCAACCCCGGGACUGCCCUUGGAACUGCAUGGCUGGAGUGCGGGAGG
This 305-nucleotide ribosomal RNA is filed under the name uncultured bacterium. Its description in RNAcentral is "bacterial SSU rRNA". It matches the Rfam family "Bacterial small subunit ribosomal RNA", at positions 332 to 655 of the family's 1533-position model. The record is from RNAcentral.